GGGGAUUUAGCUCAGUGGUAGAGCAUGAGCCUAGCAAGCGCAAGGCCCUGGGUUCGGCCCCCAGCUCA
This 68-nucleotide transfer RNA is filed under the name Rattus norvegicus (Norway rat). It matches the Rfam family "tRNA". From Rfam's summary of the family: Transfer RNA (tRNA) molecules are approximately 80 nucleotides in length. Their secondary structure includes four short double-helical elements and three loops (D, anti-codon, and T loops). Lineage: Eukaryota; Metazoa; Chordata; Mammalia; Rodentia; Muridae. The record is from Rfam by way of RNAcentral.